Molecule: ribosomal RNA, 862 nt
Filed under: Kurixalus appendiculatus (Philippine flying frog)
Lineage: Eukaryota; Metazoa; Chordata; Amphibia; Anura; Rhacophoridae
Description: partial 16S ribosomal RNA
Rfam family: Bacterial large subunit ribosomal RNA
Source: RNAcentral
CAGCCAUCUUUAAAAAAGCGUUAAAGCUUAAUUUUAUAAUAUAUUAAUAUAAAACAUAAUUAUGAACCCACCUAAAUUACUGAAUGAUCUUAUUUUAUUUAUAAGACCCAUCAUGCUAGAACUAGUAACAAGAACACAACAUUCUCCUAAAUGUAAGCAUAAACCAAAAUGGAUGCCCCACUGGUAUUUAACGAAUAUGAAUUACUUACAGUAACAAAACAAGAAAAUCCUGUAUAAUCCACCGUUAACCUAACACUAGAACACUUCAGGAAAGAUUAAAAGAGAAAGAAGGAACUCGGCAAAUCUUAACCUCGCCUGUUUACCAAAAACAUCGCCUCUUGCUUAAUUAUAGGAGGUCAGGCCUGCCCGGUGAUAAAAUUAAACGGCCGCGGUAUCCUAACCGCGCGAAGGUAGCACAAUCACUUGUUCCUUAAAUAGGGACCUGUAUCAACGGCACAACGAAGGUUAUACUGUCUCCUCUCUCCAAUCAGUGAAACUGAUCUCCCUGUGAAAAAGCAGGAAUAAUUUUAUAAGACGAGAAGACCCCAUGGAGCUUCAAACCCACCGCAACUCAAACACUAAAUCCCAUUUACCCCUUAGAGACAUGCCCAUCGGUUUUAGGUUGGGGUGACCGAGGAGCAAAACAAAACCUCCUUAACGUAAAGACCUUAAUCUUCAUCCAAGAGCUACUGCUCUAAGAACUAGAACACUAACGCACACUGAUCCGAUAUUCGACCAAUGAACCAAGUUACCCUGGGGAUAACAGCGCAAUCUACUUAGAGAGUUCUUAUCGACAAGUGGGCUUAUGACCUCGAUGUUGGAUCAGGAUAUCCCAGUGGUGCAACCGCUACUAAUGGUUCGU